This is a small nuclear RNA of Trichomycterus rosablanca, 196 nucleotides long. RefSeq annotates it as U2 spliceosomal RNA. NCBI's taxonomy places the organism in Eukaryota, Metazoa, Chordata, Actinopteri, Siluriformes, Trichomycteridae. The record is from RefSeq and is a predicted model, not a curated record. The transcript has a single exon.
CCCUUUUUUUUGGCUUGAGCACCUGCCCCCAAAAAUGUCUGUGCACGUGCCUGUCAGUUUAAUAUCUGAUACGUACUCUACCCGAGGAUCAUAUAUUAAAUGGAUUUUUAGGCCCGGGAGUCGGAAGAGGGGCUUGCUCCGUCCGCUUCACGCAUCGGCCGGGUAUUGCAUUACCUCCUGGCACGGUGCACCCUCA